UCCCAGCGUUGUUUAUAUGCCUUCCAAUUCUCGGCUUUAUUUCUUGAUAUCAGAUCCAAACCUGUUGGCGGUUGAAUCCCAUGUAUGAUUGGAGCAUUUGUCGCUUGUUCGACUGCGAUCUAGCUUUGUCUUAUUCCUUAGAUUUCCUUAUAUCUUUGUAUCCCACCACUGCCACCAUGUUAUGUUUCUAAGCAACUUUUAUUACGUCUUUACUAGCAUGCUACUAUGUGAAUAUAACAAAUAAUAAUACUAGGUGUCCAAAUACUUAUAUACAAAGUCAUGUGACACAUGUCACAUGAUUAAUUACG
Molecule: non-coding RNA, 308 nt
Organism: Paramuricea clavata
Lineage: Eukaryota; Metazoa; Cnidaria; Anthozoa; Malacalcyonacea; Plexauridae
Source: the annotation of a GenBank genome assembly